UUUAUGGAGAGUUUGAUCCUGGCUCAGGAUGAACGCUGGCGGCGUGCCUAAUACAUGCAAGUCGAGCGAACGGACGAGAAGCUUGCUUCUCUGAUGUUAGCGGCGGACGGGUGAGUAACACGUGGAUAACCUACCUAUAAGACUGGGAUAACUUCGGGAAACCGUAGCUAAUACCGGAUAAUAUUUUGAACCGCAUGGUUCAAAAGUGAAAGACGGUCUUGCUGUCACUUAUAGAUGGAUCCGCGCUGCAUUAGCUAGUUGGUAAGGUAACGGCUUACCAAGGCAACGAUGCAUAGCCGACCUGAGAGGGUGAUCGGCCACACUGGAACUGAGACACGGUCCAGACUCCUACGGGAGGCAGCAGUAGGGAAUCUUCCGCAAUGGGCGAAAGCCUGACGGAGCAACGCCGCGUGAGUGAUGAAGGUCUUCGGAUCGUAAAACUCUGUUAUUAGGGAAGAACAUAUGUGUAAGUAACUGUGCACAUCUUGACGGUACCUAAUCNGGNNGGCNCGGNUGGGUGUGUANUAGGNANCNGCGGUAAUACGUAGGUGGCAAGCGUUAUCCGGAAUUAUUGGGCGUAAAGCGCGCGUAGGCGGUUUUUUAAGUCUGAUGUGAAAGCCCACGGCUCAACCGUGGAGGGUCAUUGGAAACUGGAAAACUUGAGUGCAGAAGAGGAAAGUGGAAUUCCAUGUGUAGCGGUGAAAUGCGCAGAGAUAUGGAGGAACACCAGUGGCGAAGGCGACUUUCUGGUCUGUAACUGACGCUGAUGUGCGAAAGCGUGGGGAUCAAACAGGAUUAGAUACCCUGGUAGUCCACGCCGUAAACGAUGAGUGCUAAGUGUUAGGGGGUUUCCGCCCCUUAGUGCUGCAGCUAACGCAUUAAGCACUCCGCCUGGGGAGUACGACCGCAAGGUUGAAACUCAAAGGAAUUGACGGGGACCCGCACAAGCGGUGGAGCAUGUGGUUUAAUUCGAAGCAACGCGAAGAACCUUACCAAAUCUUGACAUCCUUUGACAACUCUAGAGAUAGAGCCUUCCCCUUCGGGGGACAAAGUGACAGGUGGUGCAUGGUUGUCGUCAGCUCGUGUCGUGAGAUGUUGGGUUAAGUCCCGCAACGAGCGCAACCCUUAAGCUUAGUUGCCAUCAUUAAGUUGGGCACUCUAAGUUGACUGCCGGUGACAAACCGGAGGAAGGUGGGGAUGACGUCAAAUCAUCAUGCCCCUUAUGAUUUGGGCUACACACGUGCUACAAUGGACAAUACAAAGGGCAGCGAAACCGCGAGGUCAAGCAAAUCCCAUAAAGUUGUUCUCAGUUCGGAUUGUAGUCUGCAACUCGACUACAUGAAGCUGGAAUCGCUAGUAAUCGUAGAUCAGCAUGCUACGGUGAAUACGUUCCCGGGUCUUGUACACACCGCCCGUCACACCACGAGAGUUUGUAACACCCGAAGCCGGUGGAGUAACCUUUUAGGAGCUAGCCGUCGAAGGUGGGACAAAUGAUUGGGGUGAAGUCGUAACAAGGUAGCCGUAUCGGAAGGUGCGGCUGGAUCACCUCCUUU
This 1553-nucleotide ribosomal RNA is filed under the name Staphylococcus aureus. Its description in RNAcentral is "16S ribosomal RNA". It matches the Rfam family "Bacterial small subunit ribosomal RNA". The record is from RNAcentral. Lineage: Bacteria; Bacillati; Bacillota; Bacilli; Caryophanales; Staphylococcaceae.